ACAGUGGUGGUUCAGUGGUAGAAUGUCUGCCUUCCGUGUGGGAGACCCAGGUUCAAUUCCCAGCCAAGGCA
Molecule: transfer RNA, 71 nt
Filed under: Loxodonta africana (African savanna elephant)
Lineage: Eukaryota; Metazoa; Chordata; Mammalia; Proboscidea; Elephantidae
Rfam family: tRNA
About the family: Transfer RNA (tRNA) molecules are approximately 80 nucleotides in length. Their secondary structure includes four short double-helical elements and three loops (D, anti-codon, and T loops).
Source: Rfam by way of RNAcentral